RNAcentral lists this ribosomal RNA (625 nucleotides) under uncultured bacterium. RNAcentral's name for it is "bacterial SSU rRNA". The stretch from base 1 to 530 matches the Rfam family "Bacterial small subunit ribosomal RNA", at positions 338 to 873 of the family's 1533-position model. The record is from RNAcentral.
CCUACGGGAGGCAGCAGUGGGGAAUCUUGCGCAAUGGCCGAGAGGCUGACGCAGCGACGCCGCGUGGGGGAUGAAGCAUUUCGGUGUGUAAACCCCUGUUGCUCGGGACGAACGAUCCUUUUCGAGGGAUGUGACGGUACCGAGUGAGGAAGCACCGGCUAACUCCGUGCCAGCAGCCGCGGUAAUACGGAGGGUGCGAGCGUUGUCCGGAAUCACUGGGCGUAAAGGGCGCGUAGGUGGUUAGAUGCGCCGGUGGUGAAAGCGCAGGGCUCAACCCUGCGUCGGCCAUCGGGACGGUCUGACUGGAGCACUGUAGAGGCAGGUGGAAUUCCGGGUGUAGCGGUGGAAUGCGUAGAGAUCCGGAAGAACACCGGUGGCGAAGGCGGCCUGCUGGGCAGUUGCUGACACUGAGGCGCGACAGCGUGGGGAGCAAACAGGAUUAGAUACCCUGGUAGUCCACGCCGUAAACGAUGGGCACUAGGUGCUUGGGGGAGCGACCCCCUGAGUGCGCGCACGCAUAAGUGCCCGCCGUCGGGGAGGUACGACCGCCGACGGUAGAACGUACGAAAGGAAAGUUAGUACGGCGUGAGACGUCGCCGACGGACGACGACCGAGGGAGGGAGGG